GACCGCUCUGGGGUCCCCGACCGCCUGGGUCCUAUCCACUCCCGGGGGUGGCUGGAUGCAGGAUGCCCUCAGACCCCUAGUGCGGGCCGCCGCGUAGACCAGCUCCGUGGCGCAAAGGAGCGAGAACGCACACUUCCCAGCCUCAGGAUGAUGUGGCCGCGGGGCCCCGGGCGCCGGCAGCCAAGAGCACACGCUGCGCCGGGGUCCAGCUUUCCAGACAGAGGCUGGGAAGGAUGACUGGGCUGCUAGCUGCUGGCUAGCUGGGAACCGGCGGGACACGAAGAACAGAUCUGGUAUAUGGUGCACAGCCAGGCAGCCUGUGGCUGCCGAGUCCCAAACCGCCAAACCAGUACCUCACACCUUAGAAAUAAGAUUGAAUUUACAGUAGCAGGCACUCGGGCACAGGUUUUCAGUGGUGCUCUGGGUUUUUUGAUGCCCAUAAAUGGGCCGGAAGUUUCCUUUCAGUUGUCUAGACCAAAGAAAGGGUCCAGAUACUUUCCAAACUUCACUGAUCUUAAGGGGUACCUGGCUUGGCGGGCUAGAGAUACAAAAUUUUGCAGCUGGGCAUAGUGAUUCAUGCCCUUAGUCCUAACAUUUGGUGGGCUGAGACAGGAGGGUUACUGUAAGUUGAAGACUAACAAAGGCUACUUUGUGUGUUCUGGACCAACCUGUGCUACAAAGUGAGAUUCUGCCUCAAUAAAACAAGAUGGUGGGCAAGGCCUGACAGGAAAGAGAAAAUGUCAAUUGCCAGGCGUCCUCUUCAGAAUGAGCUGUUCUUCAGGAGCACAGCUAGGCAAGCCCCAGUAAAGGGACGGAGGGGCUCACCUCAGGGUUGUAGUUCUGCCCCUCCCUGCCUUCUCAUCAGCCUGACAGAUUUCCUAACAGGACUCAUUGUGUUCCCGAGAAGCAGCAAGGGCCAGACAGACAGACAGAGACAACAGCAAGACAUCUGGAGAAUAAUGGCCACUAUGGUCCCUAACAUGGGAACUUCUUGGAACUUGUAAGGGUUCAAGGGAUGCCACGCCCAUUCAGGCCAAUGAACUCAGAACUCGGCUUGGGCCUGGCAGUUUUCGAAGCCUCCGUUGAUUACACUGCAGCUGAGGGUCGCGCCAAUCACAGAGAUUCUGUUCUGAUCCUACAACUUGCCCUGUUCUGGAACAGGUCUGCAGUAUGAGGAGAGUGGGGUUGGUGAAGGCUGGGGUUCCUGACCACCUCCUUGAAAAGUAACCUUCCUCUCCAGCUGCCUCUGACCAGCCGUGGUCUGCAUCAGUCUCUCACUUCAAAAAUGAUAUAGGACCUUAAAAGUGAGAGGCUUCAUACUCAAGUUGGAACAGCGUAGAAAUUGCAUAGCUGUCUUCAAGAGGCCAAAUGUUCCCCAAGACUAUCUUUGGUGUUUGACUGAAUGAAACCCAACAGCCAUUGCAGAAAAAAGAAAGACAAUUCUAGCCACAAGCCCUGUCUUCCCAGCCUUCUGAUUCACUGUGGCUGUGAAGCUCGGGCCUGGCUGCCACUCCAUCCAUAAAAACUUCACGUCCAUCAGCUUCAGCCAGCUAGGCAGAGAGCAAAGCUGGCGUCCGGCAGAUGGUCUGCCUUUGGAUGGGAAUUCUGCCUCCUCGUUCACAGGAAAUGGAAGCCGACGUGGCAUUCAAUACUGGAUUGUUAGGUAAUGGUGUGAGGUCAGAGGCCAGGAUCUGCUCAUUAAAAUUUCAGAUAGA
This is a long non-coding RNA of Mastomys coucha (southern multimammate mouse), 1715 nucleotides long. RefSeq lists it as uncharacterized. The transcript has 2 exons. The record is from RefSeq and is a predicted model, not a curated record. Lineage: Eukaryota; Metazoa; Chordata; Mammalia; Rodentia; Muridae.